Molecule: ribosomal RNA, 468 nt
Filed under: uncultured bacterium
Lineage: Bacteria
Description: partial 16S ribosomal RNA
Rfam family: Bacterial small subunit ribosomal RNA
Source: RNAcentral
GACGAACGCUGGCGGCGUGCUUAACACAUGCAAGUCGAACGGAAAGGCCCUGCUUUUGUGGGGUGCUCGAGUGGCGAACGGGUGAGUAACACGUGAGUAACCUGCCCUUGACUUUGGGAUAACUUCAGGAAACUGGGGCUAAUACCGGAUAGGAGCUCCUGCUGCAUGGUGGGGGUUGGAAAUUUUCGGCGGUUGGGGAUGGACUCGCGGCUUAUCAGCUUGUUGGUGGGGUAGUGGCUUACCAAGGCUUUGACGGGUAGCCGGCCUGAGAGGGUGACCGGCCACCUUGGGACUGAGCUACGGCCCAGACUCCUACGGGAGGCAGCAGUGGGGAAUAUUGCACAAUGGGCGGAAGCCUGAUGCAGCAACGCCGCGUGCGGGAUGACGGCCUUCGGGUUGUAAACCGCUUUCGCCUGUGACGAAGCGUGAGUGACGGUAAUGGGUAAAGAAGCACCGGCUAACUACGUG